Molecule: small nuclear RNA, 66 nt
Organism: Meriones unguiculatus (Mongolian gerbil)
Lineage: Eukaryota; Metazoa; Chordata; Mammalia; Rodentia; Muridae
Source: Ensembl
UUGCUUCAGCAGCACAUAUACUAAAAUUGGAACAAUAUAGAGAAGUUUAGCAUGGCCCCUGCACAA